GCUUAGCCUUAAACUCUUAAUUACACCACAAACGCCCGGGAACUACAAGCAAAGCUUGAAACCCAAAGGACUUGACGGUGCCCCACAUCCCCCUAGAGGAGCCUGUCCUAUGACCGAUAACCCCCGUUAAACCUCACCCUCUUUAGCACACUCAGUCUGUAUACCUCCGUCGUCAACUUACCACAUGAGUGACUUUUAGUAAGUUUAAUGUCCUUACUCGUCAACACGUCAGGUCAAGGUGCAACUAAUAAGAGGGGAAGAGAUGGGCUACACUCUCUAUUCUAGAAUAUACGGAGAACUAAUAUGAAAGCUAGUUCAAAGGUGGAUUUAGCAGUAAAAGGGGUCAGAGAGCCCCUUUUAACCCGGCACUGGGGUGUGUACACACCGCCCGUCACCCUCUUCGUAGCACUGGUUUAAGUACAUAACCCAACUCCGCAUCGUAGAAGAGGUAAGUCGUAACAUGGUAAGUAUACCGGAAGGUGUGCUUGGAAC
This 492-nucleotide ribosomal RNA is filed under the name Aplastodiscus cavicola (Cruz's treefrog). RNAcentral's name for it is "partial small subunit ribosomal RNA". It matches the Rfam family "Bacterial small subunit ribosomal RNA", at positions 794 to 1524 of the family's 1533-position model. The record is from RNAcentral. Lineage: Eukaryota; Metazoa; Chordata; Amphibia; Anura; Hylidae.